Molecule: RNA transcript, 4992 nt
Organism: Helicoverpa armigera (cotton bollworm)
Lineage: Eukaryota; Metazoa; Arthropoda; Insecta; Lepidoptera; Noctuidae
Gene: LpR1
Gene name: low-density lipoprotein receptor
Exons: 15
Source: RefSeq, a predicted model, not a curated record
UGAUGCGUUGGAAAAAUCUGUAGCUAGAAUCAGCAGCGCAGCGCCGCCGUUCGGUCGCCGAAACUAAACGUAGCUACGUCACGCGUGCGCCGAGCGCCAUCUAGCGGCGCGCUGCCUCCGCCGCAUCGCCUCACCUGCCUCGCGCGACAUUUCUCCGUCGCGCUCGCACCAGUGGCACGUAGAAAUAACCUCAAAACUCUCGCGUACCAACCAAUCACCAAAAUAUUGCUCCUCGCAGUAUUAAUAACAGUGACUACAAUCCGUAAGACGGCUAACAGUGUUAUGAACGUGACGUAAUCCUGUCACACUCCUGGAUUUGCCCUGCAGUGUUGCUUCAUAGUGAUUUUGAUAAAAUCGAAAGUUUACAGGACGAAUGUUCCUUUUGGUGGGCUGUCAUCGGGCAGCCCCCAAAUUUUGUGCCAUAAUGUGGUGGUUAAUAUUUUUAUGUGUUGUAAACGUUAAAACGUUCGGUGUAUUAGCAUCGAAUAGCAGUGGGACUAUCUCAGAAUCAAUAUGUUCGUUGAAGCAGUUCCAGUGCAACAAUGGCAAGUGCAUACCCAGCAUGUGGGUGUGUGAUCUGGAGAAGGACUGCGAAGACAACUCCGAUGAAGAAAUUGAAGAAUGCAAAAAAGAAAGUCGCACGUGCACACAGGCAGAGUUCCGAUGCAAGACUGGAAGAUGUAUUCCGAUGUCCUGGCACUGCGACAGUGAGAAAGACUGCCCUGAUGGCUCAGACGAAGAUCCUAGCACAUGCAAGGUGAAGUCGUGCGGGCCCGAGGAGUUCACCUGCAGAGGACGAGACGGCGAGUGCGUCCCGCUCACGUGGAUGUGCGACGACAACGCCGACUGCUCCGACGGAUCUGAUGAGAAAGCAUGCAAUGAGACCUGUCGUUCGGACGAGUUCACAUGUGGCAACGGCAAGUGCAUCCAGCUCCGAUGGGUGUGCGACGGUGAUGACGACUGCGGGGAUGACAGCGACGAAGUCAAGUGCCCUCCCCCGACCUGCCAGCCUCAGACACACUUCUCCUGCGGGAACGGUCACUGCGUGUCAGCGUGGUGGCGCUGUGACGGCACUGAGGACUGCCCUGAUGGAAGCGAUGAAGUUGGCUGCACAGCGACACCAAAAGUUCGAUCACCCUGCAUAUCAUCGGAAUUCGAAUGCAAGGACCGCAUGACCUGUGUCCACAAGGCGUGGGUGUGUGAUGGAGACCGAGACUGUCCGGACGGUGGUGAUGAAGACCCUCAGCAGUGCCGGAGAAACAUCACCUGCAGGCUUGACCAGUACCAGUGCAAUGAUCACAGCUGUAUCCCUGGAGCGCUGUACUGCAACGGAGAUAAAGACUGUCCCGAUGGAAGUGACGAGCGUAAUUGCACACAACCAAAACCAGUGUGCGACAAGAAAACAGAAUUCGACUGCGGCGCUGGAAUGUGCAUUCCUCUCUCAAAGGUGUGUGACAAGCAUCCAGACUGCCCGAACUUUGAAGACGAGCCUCGAGACAGAUGUGGGGAGAACGAAUGCGAGAAGAACAACGGAGGAUGUACACAGCGCUGUGUUGACACUCCUGUUGGAUACUACUGCGACUGUGAAAAGGGAUACAAGCUUGUUGAUAACAGGACUUGUGAAGACGUCGACGAGUGUUCAGACCCUGGCGCAUGCUCACAAAUGUGCAUCAAUGAGAAAGGCACCUUCAAAUGCGAAUGCCACGUCGGUUAUGCCCGAGACCCUCGAGAUAGGACCAGGUGUAAGGCUACUGAAGGCCAUCCUUCACUCCUGUUUGCCAGACGGUUCGACAUCCGCAAGAUCAGCUUAGAUCACCACGAAAUGGUUGCUAUAGUGAAUGACACGAAGUCUGCGACUGCUUUAGAUUAUGUCUUCAGGACAGGAAUGAUCUUCUGGAGUGAUGUUACUGAUGAGAAGAUUUACAAAGCGCCAAUCGACGAAGGCACACAAAGAACAGUCGUGAUCGGAGACCAGCUCAUCACAUCCGACGGCUUGGCAGUCGACUGGAUAUACAACCACUUGUACUGGACGGAUACUGGGAAGAACCACAUCGAGUUAUCAGACCUGCAAGGGAACAUGAGGAAGAUCCUCAUCAGGGAUCAACUUGAGGAACCUAGAGCUAUUGCCCUUAAUCCUCUAGAUGGAUGGAUGUACUGGACCGAUUGGGGCCAGGUGCCGAAGAUCGAGCGAGCUGGCAUGGACGGCUCUCACAGACAGACCAUCGUGUCUUAUGACGUCAAAUGGCCCAAUGGCCUGACACUGGACCUCGUCCGCAAACGAGUUUAUUGGGUGGACGCUAAAAUGAACAUGAUAUCCUCUUGCAACUACGAUGGAACAGGGCGUAGGGUGAUCCUGUACUCCACAGACGUGUUACGUCACCCAUUCUCCAUCACCACGUUCGAGGAUUGGGUCUACUGGACUGACUGGGACAAGGCCGCCGUCUACCGCGCCAACAAAUUCAACGGAAAAGAUAUUGAAGCUAUUACUCCUACACAUAACCUCCAAAACCCGAUGGUGAUCCACGUGUAUCACCCAUACCGCCAGCCCGAUGGUGUGAACCACUGCGCGGCUGUCAACGGUCACUGCUCCCAUCUCUGUCUCCCAGCACCACGCAUCGGGGCGAACUCCCCUCGCGUCUCCUGCGCCUGCCCCAAUGGGCUGAGACUACUGCCUGACAACCAGAUGUGCGUCGAAGACAGUGUCCCUGAAACACCUAAGACUGGUACAGGAAUCUCAAGCAGCGGCCGCGAUGCCGGCAUGGUAGCCGGUGUCGUUGUUGCAGUAAUCUCUGGAAUCAUCAUAUUGGCAGCACUGAUCGCAGUGGUUAUGUACAGACAUUACGUGCACCGUAAUGUUACAUCUAUGAACUUCGACAACCCGGUGUACCGCAAGACGACGGAGGACCAAUUCGCGCUCGAGAAGAAUGGCUACGCACCGGGCAGCAAGCUGUACCCCAGUACCGUGGGAGAAGAGGUGAGAGCGCUUACCGCCAUGGAGUGUACGCUUAACAUACAGAACAGUCUAAGAUAAGUCGCACAAGGACGCACUGCCCUCCGCCAAGCCAAUUAACGAGUUAGUGCCUCACGCCACUAACUCACUUCUUCCUUUCAUAUAUUUUUACUGUAAACUAAGAAUAUUAUUUUAAAAAUGAGAACAUCACUCCAACUUCUUGUGUACAAUGAAUUAUACCCCGUGUAACUUGGCCAAAAUGAUAAAUUGUUGUAAAUAUCAAUGAAAACUAGCAUUAUUUUACUAUAGUAAAUAAUUAUUAUAAGGUCUGCCUAAGACAUUUUAAACUUGAUGUAUUUAGAGUUAUUAUAUUUACUAGAGAUUGUUUUAAGGAUUUAUAGGAGAUAUUUUCGUUUAGAUUUAAUGAUUGUGGCAAUUUAUAAUGUGCCAACAUUUUUACCGCAUCAGUAUUAAAUCAUAGUUGCCAAAUUAUUGGCUCUAAGUGGUAGGUGUAAAAUGCUGUAAAUAGUCCCUUUUAAAUAGCAAAUAUGAUUUUUGUAAUCUGCCUAAAGCUUAACAUAGACUUUACUAAUAAUAUUUUACUGCCGUAAUAUUUAUUUUUCAUGCGUUAACAUGCGAGGGCAUUAAUAUGGCCCAAGAACCUCUCAACACACCAGGUACAAAUGACUUUGUAUAGUGUACAAGCUGGAAGUAAAUACAGUAUAAUGUCAUUGAAUGUGAAAAGAAAGAGAAGGACAUGUGAUACUUAAAAUAGUGUUAUCCAGUGAAUGGGACUUAAGCUAACAUUUUUGUAGUAAACUCUAAAAAUAGUUAGCGUUAGUGCAGUGAAGUGAAAGCUUAUUGGAACAAAGUUCUGUUUGCUGUCAUGCCUCGCGCCGGGAUGGAUCUCAAAAUUACGAUUAUUUCAUCAGCUGUCAUAUCACAAGACUUUGGUUUUUAUUUACACAGAUGUAGAGAAAGGCAGAUGUUUGUUAAAGUGACAAGUGACAUCUGUUAAAAUUGUCGAUGGUUUAUCAAAUUUGUUAUACGAUUACCAUCUUCAUGUUAUGUAAUUGGAAGCGUGGCGGUGUUCAGUCGGUAGUGACGGACUCGCCGUGUGGUCAGCUAGCGCCAUCUCCCUUUCUCCGCGUCUGUUCUCAGUACGUAAGAGAUCUUGGUAAUGCUUUUGUAUCUGUAUCACAUUAUUCGACGUUAGAAGGGACAUGUUUGCUCUAAUUUUCUCUUUACACUGUGAAUAGUAUAAACAUUCUUAAUAUUGCUUUAUCAAAUGCCUGGUGCAUUGUAAUUAUUUAUAUAGAGUUUACAAUUUUUUAUUCCACUUUAGUUGAUAAUGUUAAAUAUUAUACACCUAUACAGCAAUCUUAAACUCUGUACCGCAUUCAGAGAGAAUGAAAAGCUCAUGUUUCAUAAUGAAAUGUACUUAGUUAGUAGUUUGUCAUGUUUUCCUAAAUAUUUUUUAAAAUUGAACUGAUUCUGCAUAUACGAAUAUGAAAUCUCCAGGUACCUAUUUACCUAGAUUGAUUAAAAAUAAAUAAUGGAUUUAUUUAUUGCAACACACUAGUAAAUAUAGGCUAAUGAUAACAGUAUAAUGUGCCAAUUUUAGUAAAAUUUACAAUUGUGUCGCCAAAUUUUAUUGUACUAUAAACUUGAUAGUAGUUGAAUUCUCAUACGUUUGUUGCGUCUGUAAUUUAUUUGUACUAUAUAAAAUUGUUAUUAUUAGCAUAAAGCAGUUUUAAUAUGAAUUUAUAUUUUAUGUACCAGUUGAGUUUUUCCAUCGAACAAUUUAUGUAUUUAUAAUAUUUAAUAGCAAUGAACGCAUAGUAUUUGGAAUGUGACUUUGUCAAGCAAAAUCCUGCCAAAUCCUUAAAAUAUAAAUAUUACUCUAUUUUUAAUGUAAUUCAAUUACAUUAUUACAUACUUGAUGCACAUUUCAUACAAUAUGCCUAGCUCAAUAAGUGUGGUCACCAAAAUAAAUUAUUGUGUAAAUAUUGUCAGUAAAAUAUAUGUAAAAGGUGUUAAUA